GAUGAACGCUGGCUACAGGCUUAACACAUGCAAGUCGUGGGGAAACGGCAUUAUGUGCUUGCACAUUCUGGACGUCGACCGGCGCACGGGUGAGUAUCGCGUAUCCAACCUGCCCCUUACUUGGGGAUACCCCGUUGAAAGACGGCCUAAUACCCGAUGUGUUUCAUUGACGGCAUCCGAUAUGAAACAAAGGUUUUCCGGUAAGGGAUGGGGAUGCGUCUGAUUAGCUUGUUGGCGGGGCAACGGCCCACCAAGGCAACGAUCAGUAGGGGUUCUGAGAGGAAGGUCCCCCACAUUGGAACUGAGACACGGUCCAAACUCCUACGGGAGGCAGCAGUGAGGAAUAUUGGUCAAUGGACGCAAGUCUGAACCAGCCAAGUAGCGUGCAGGAUGACGGCCCUAUGGGUUGUAAACUGCUUUUAUGUGGGAAUAAAUUGGCGCACGUGUGCGCCAUUGCAUGUA
Molecule: ribosomal RNA, 462 nt
Filed under: Prevotella nigrescens
Lineage: Bacteria; Pseudomonadati; Bacteroidota; Bacteroidia; Bacteroidales; Prevotellaceae
Description: bacterial SSU rRNA
Rfam family: Bacterial small subunit ribosomal RNA
Source: RNAcentral